Non-coding RNA from Odocoileus virginianus texanus, 573 nucleotides. NCBI's taxonomy places the organism in Eukaryota, Metazoa, Chordata, Mammalia, Artiodactyla, Cervidae. The record is from RefSeq and is a predicted model, not a curated record.
GAGUCCAUUGACUCCAAGCCUGGCGCAGGCCGUCCCUCGCAAGAUCUAGGCUUCAGGGUCUACACGCGGAGAAGCGCCGGAACGUGGAACACAUUUUAUGGGGCUGUGAAAUCCCACCGUCUGGGAACUGCUGUCCUAUGGGGUGAUGGCUCCAACUCUUGCUCUGCUGGAUGGAACAAGGGACGGGGUAGGGAGACCCUUGAGAUGUGGCGUUUCCAGAAAAAAGCUCAAAGGAGCCCCAGAUGGAUUUGGUAAAUUACAAUGAGGAGAGGUUCAGAGUGGGUCUCUUCCUGCCCGCCAGCCGCCUGGCAUCCUGUUAGGGCUUGCUGAACACUGCCUGAAGGCUGGGCUGCUGGCUCCAGGCAGGAUCUCUUCCUGUGAGGCUUUCUUUCUCAGGGCAAAGCCUGGUCACACGUCCUAGAGGCAGACUGUGGUUUGUUACUAGAAACACAGUUUGCUCUCUGAAAACUCUGUGUAGUUUCACUGCAUGUCUGUGCAUGUAUGUCUGCGUGUGUACAUGUGGGAGGUUGUGGCCUGCAGAAUGGUAAAGACACACCGUUGCUGGAGGCAACA